Molecule: long non-coding RNA, 597 nt
Organism: Aethina tumida (small hive beetle)
Lineage: Eukaryota; Metazoa; Arthropoda; Insecta; Coleoptera; Nitidulidae
Exons: 2
Source: RefSeq, a predicted model, not a curated record
GUAGUACAAAAAUGGCAUCAAAAAAAUUAAAAACAUCUGAUGAAGAAAGUACAACAGCUAUAAUUCAUGCGAACAUUAAUGAUAUGCCUGAGGAACUUUUGUUGAUGCUUUUUUCGUAUUUAACCCCUCAAGAACUAUAUUGUAUUAUAAGACCGGUGUGUAAAAGAUGGUGGCGUAUGUCAAAAAUACCAUCUCUAUGGAGAAAUAUAAAAGUGAAGGACGAUGUACCACUAACGGAAUUAAGAAAAUGGUUUCAAAUUGCAGAAGAUCUUAAUCAUUUAGAAUUAAUAAAUAGAGAAGACGUUAGUGUUAUACUAAGGGAUGUUUCUGCCUAUUCGUCAAAUCUGGAAACGUUGACUUUGACAAAUUGUAAGGGUUCCGCAACUUCUCCGGUAAUACCAAGCCAAGAUCUAUGCAAGAUUCUUCCAGAUGAUCUGUAAGAGGACAACAGAACAAAUAUGCUCUUACUCAGGUCCUGUUUCUCCUCUACAAUUAUAUUUGAUGAGUGAAAAUGAUGAAGAAUUAUUCGAUAGUGAUAAUUAAUAUUAUGUUAAUUAUAAGUUAUUUUUUUAUUAUGAAUAAAUCUACGAUAAUGAA